UACGUAGGGACCUAGCGUUGUCCGGAAUCAUUGGGCGUAAAGCGCGCGUAGGCGGCCCGGUAAGUCCGUUGUAAAAGUCGAAGGCUCAACCUUCGAAAGCCGAUGGAUACUGCCGGGCUAGAGUCCGGAAGAGGCGAGUAGAAUUCCUGGUGUAGCGGUGAAAUGCGCAGAUAUCAGGAGGAACACCAAUUGCGAAGGCAGCUCGCUGGGACGUUACUGACGCUGAGACGCGAAAGCGUGGGGAGCAAACAGG
RNAcentral lists this ribosomal RNA (253 nucleotides) under uncultured bacterium. RNAcentral describes it as "partial 16S ribosomal RNA". It matches the Rfam family "Bacterial small subunit ribosomal RNA", at positions 524 to 776 of the family's 1533-position model. The record is from RNAcentral.